Molecule: ribosomal RNA, 1382 nt
Filed under: Ergasilus sp. 1 MAW-2020
Lineage: Eukaryota; Metazoa; Arthropoda; Copepoda; Poecilostomatoida; Ergasilidae
Description: SSU rRNA
Rfam family: Eukaryotic small subunit ribosomal RNA
Source: RNAcentral
GAUUCCGGAGAGGGAGCCUGAGAAACGGCUACCACUUCUAAGGAAGGCAGCAGGUGCGCAAAUUACCCAAUGGUCGAUGACCGAGGUAGUGACGAAAAAUAACGAUACCGGACUCAUUUGAGGCCCGGUAAUUGGAAUGAGUACACUUUAANUCCUUUAACGAGGAACAAUUGGAGGGCAAGUCUGGUGCCAGCAGCCGCGGUAAUUCCAGCUCCAAUAGCGUAUAUUAAAGUUGUUGCGGUUAANAAGCUCGUAGUUGGAUCUCGGCGGGCAGGGGGUGGCUCGGUGUAUGCCGUUGCUGCCCCAUUUGCUCGUGUUUUUGACGGAGGCUCCGGGUUGCCCUUUAUUGUGAGUGUCUGGUGCGCCGUCAGGUUUACUUUGAAAAAAUUAGAGUGCUCAAAGCAGGCUUUACACGCUUGAAUAUUCGUGCAUGGAAUAAUGGAAUAGGAAGUCGUUCCUAUUUUGUUGGUNUUCGGGAAUUGACUUAAUGAUUAAUAGGGACAGCCGGGGGCAUUAGUAUUCAGACGACAGAGGUGAAAUUCUUGGACCGUCUGAAGACUAACUACUGCGAAAGCAUUUGCCAAGAGUGUUUUCAUUAAUCAAGAACGAAAGUUAGAGGUUCGAAGGCGAUCAGAUACCGCCCUAGUUCUAACCAUAAACGAUGCCAGCUAGCGAUCCGCAGGUGUUACUUAAGGCCCUGCGGGAAGCUUCCGGGAAACCAAAGCUUUUGGGUUCCGGGGGAAGUAUGGUUGCAAAGCUGAAACUUAAAGGAAUUGACGGAAGGGCACCACCAGGAGUGGAGCCUGCGGCUUAAUUUGACUCAACACGGGAAAUCUCACCAGGCCCGGACACUGGAAGGAUUGACAGAUUGAGAGCUCUUUCUCGAUUCAGUGGGUGGUGGUGCAUGGCCGUUCUUAGUUGGUGGAGUGAUUUGUCUGGUUAAUUCCGAUAACGAACGAGACUCUGUCCUGCUAAAUAGUCGCAACGUCUCUUUUGCGUUGCGAUGUCUUCUUAGAGGGACUGGCGGCUUUCAGCCGCACGAGAUUGAGCAAUAACAGGUCUGUGAUGCCCUUAGAUGUUCUGGGCUGCACACGCGCUACACUGAAGGGAUCAGCGUGUUUUCCCUUCCCGAGAGGGACGGGUAAACCGCUGAAACCCCUUCGUGGUAGGGAUCGGAGCUUGCAAUUAUUCUCCGUGAACCAGGAAUUCCCAGUAAGCGCAAGUCAUAAGCUUGCGUUGAUUACGUCCCUGCCCUUUGUACACACCGCCCGUCGCUACUACCGAUUGAACGUUUUAGUGAGGUAUUUGGACCGGGCCUCUGUUGGCUUCGCCGACGGUGCUGUCUGGAAAGACUCCCAAACUUGAGCGUUUAGAGGAGUAAA